GCUGGGAUGGCUCAGUUGGUAGAGCAUGAGACACUUAAUCUCAGGCUCGAGCCCCAUGUUGGGCA
Molecule: non-coding RNA, 65 nt
Organism: Podarcis lilfordi (Lilford's wall lizard)
Lineage: Eukaryota; Metazoa; Chordata; Lepidosauria; Squamata; Lacertidae
Source: the annotation of a GenBank genome assembly